GAUGAAGAACGCAGCGAAAUGCGAUAAGUAAUGUGAAUUGUAGAAUUCAGUGAAUCAUCGAAUCUUUGAACGCACAUUGCGCCCUCUGGUAUUCCGGAGGGCAUGCCUGUUCGAGCGUCAUUAUAACCACUCAAGCUCUCGCUUGGUAUUGGGGUUCGCGGUUCCGCGGCCCCUAAAAUCAGUGGCGGUGCCUGUCGGCUCUACGCGUAGUAAUACUCCUCGCGAUUGAGUCCGGUAGGUCUACUUGCCAGCAACCCCCAAUUUUUACAGGUUGACCUCGGAUCAGGUAGGGAUACCCGCUGAACUUAAGCAUAUCAAUAAGCGGAGGA
Molecule: unclassified non-coding RNA, 329 nt
Filed under: soil metagenome
Description: partial contains 5.8S ribosomal RNA, internal transcribed spacer 2, and large subunit ribosomal RNA
Rfam family: 5.8S ribosomal RNA (bases 1-120)
Source: RNAcentral